AGCGAACGCUGGCGGCAGGCUUAACACAUGCAAGUCGAACGCCCCGCAAGGGGAGUGGCAGACGGGUGAGUAACACGUGGGAACGUACCCUUUGGUUCGGAAUAACUUGGGGAAACUCAAGCUAAUACCGGAUAAGCCCUUAUGGGGAAAGGUUUACUGCCGAAGGAUCGGCCCGCGUCUGAUUAGCUAGUUGGUGAGGUAAUGGCUCACCAAGGCGACGAUCAGUAGCUGGUCUGAGAGGAUGAUCAGCCACACUGGGACUGAGACACGGCCCAGACUCCUACGGGAGGCAGCAGUGGGGAAUAUUGGACAAUGGGGGCAACCCUGAUCCAGCCAUGCCGCGUGAGUGAUGAAGGCCUUAGGGUUGUAAAGCUCUUUUACCCGGGACGAUAAUGACUGUACCGGGAGAAUAAGCCCCGGCUAACUUCGUGCCAGCAGCCGCCGCGG
This 447-nucleotide ribosomal RNA is filed under the name uncultured bacterium. RNAcentral describes it as "partial 16S ribosomal RNA". It matches the Rfam family "Bacterial small subunit ribosomal RNA", at positions 29 to 523 of the family's 1533-position model. The record is from RNAcentral.